UUGCUUUGGCAGCAUACAUACUAAAACUGGAAAGAUACAGAGAAGAUUAGCUUGGCUCCUGCACAAGGAUGACACACAAAUUCAUGAAGCAUUCCACGUUAAA
Molecule: small nuclear RNA, 103 nt
Organism: Nomascus leucogenys (northern white-cheeked gibbon)
Lineage: Eukaryota; Metazoa; Chordata; Mammalia; Primates; Hylobatidae
Source: RefSeq, a predicted model, not a curated record